CGGGGUGUAGCGCAGCUGGUAGCGCGCUUGGUUCGGGACCAAGAUGUCGCAGGUUCAAAUCCUGUCACUCCGACCA
Molecule: transfer RNA, 76 nt
Filed under: Clostridium omnivorum
Lineage: Bacteria; Bacillati; Bacillota; Clostridia; Eubacteriales; Clostridiaceae
Description: tRNA-Pro
Rfam family: tRNA
About the family: Transfer RNA (tRNA) molecules are approximately 80 nucleotides in length. Their secondary structure includes four short double-helical elements and three loops (D, anti-codon, and T loops).
Source: RNAcentral